CCCUUAACUAUUAAAAGUUUCGUUUUGGUCCCUUAACCUAUUUUUUGGUUUCGUUUUGAUCCCUUAACUUAUUUUUUGAUUUCAUUUUGGUCCCUUAACUCUAAUACAUUCAUCCUAACAUAAAGGACCAAAGUGGUUGACAGAGGAAAAGUUAAGGGACCAAAACGAAACCAAAAAGUAAGUUAAAGGACCAAAACGAAACUUUUAAUAGUUAAGGGACCAAAACGAAACCAAAAAGUAAGUUAAGGGACCAAAAUGAAACUUUUAAUAGUUAAGGGA
RNAcentral lists this microRNA precursor (279 nucleotides) under Medicago truncatula (barrel medic). Its description in RNAcentral is "MIR2655 microRNA precursor family". It matches the Rfam family "MIR2655 microRNA precursor family". The record is from Rfam by way of RNAcentral. Lineage: Eukaryota; Viridiplantae; Streptophyta; Magnoliopsida; Fabales; Fabaceae.